AGUGAACGCUGGCGGUAGGCCUAACACAUGCAAGUCGAACGGCAGCACAGUAAGAGCUUGCUCUUACGGGUGGCGAGUGGCGGACGGGUGAGGAAUACAUCGGAAUCUACUUUUUCGUGGGGGAUAACGUAGGGAAACUUACGCUAAUACCGCAUACGACCUACGGGUGAAAUCAGGGGAUCUUCGGACCUUGCGCGAUUGAAUGAGCCGAUGUCGGAUUAGCUAGUUGGCGGGGUAAAGGCCCACCAAGGCGACGAUCCGUAGCUGGUCUGAGAGGAUGAUCAGCCACACUGGAACUGAGACACGGUCCAGACUCCUACGGGAGGCAGCAGUGGGGAAUAUUGGGCAAUGGGCGCAAGCCUGAUCCAGCCAUACCGCGUGAGUGAAGAAGGCCUUCGGGUUGUAAAGCCCUUUUGUUGGGAAAGAAAAGCAGCAGGUUAAUACCCCGCUGUUCUGACGGUACCCAAAGAAUAAGCACCGGCUAACUUCGUG
Molecule: ribosomal RNA, 492 nt
Filed under: uncultured bacterium
Lineage: Bacteria
Description: partial 16S ribosomal RNA
Rfam family: Bacterial small subunit ribosomal RNA
Source: RNAcentral